GAAGAAAUGCUCAUUAACAGGGCUGUAAACACAUUUGUGCUCAAUAUUUGAGAGAAAUGAGCUUUUUGUGCGCAUGAAACAUUUCUGGGACCUUUUAUUUAUUUUAUAAACACUUUACAUGUCACGUUGAUAUUUUCAGUAUAAAUGGAAUUCAAAUAAUUGAACCGAUGUCAUCAAUUAGUUGUUUAAAAACUGCAAAGAUUACUGUGAUCUCAGUUAAUGCUCAGCACUCGCAGACAGGCAGUCAGACAGACAGACGGUCACCAUAGCAGUCAGACAGGCAGUCAGACAGACAGACGGUCACCAUAGCAGUCAGACAGACGGUCACCAUAGCAGUCAGACAGACAGUCAGACAGACAGACGGUCACCAUAGCAGUCAGACAGACAGUCAGACAGACAGACGGUCACCAUAGCAGUCAGACAGACAGACGGUCACCAUAGCAGUCAGACAGACAGACAGACGGUCACCAUAGCAGUCAGACAGACAGACAGUCACCAUAGCAGUCAGACAGACAGACAGUCACCAUAACGGUCACCAUAGCAGACAGACAGACGGUCACCAUAGCAGUCAGACAGACGGUCACCAUAGUAGUCAGACAGACAGUCAGUCACCAUAGCAGUCAGACAGACAGUCAGACAGGCAGGCAGACAGACGGUCACCAUAGCAGUCAGACAGACAGUCACCAUAGCAGUCAGACAGUCAGACAGGCAGGCAGACAGACGGUCACCAUAGCAGUCAGACAGACAGUCAGACAGACAGUCACCAUAGCAGUCAGACAGACAGGCAGACAGACGGUCACCAUAGCAGUCAGACAGACAGUCAGACAGACAGUCCCCAUAGCAGUCAGACAGAAAGAGACAGUCAGACAGACAGACAGUCAGACAGACGGUCACCAUAGCAGUCAGACAGACAGUCACAGACAGACAGACGGUCACCAUAGCAGUCAGACAGACAGACAGACGGUCACCAUAGCAGUCAGACAGACAGUCAGACAGACAAUCAGUCAGACAGACAGUCAGACAGACGGUCACCAUAGCAGUCAGACAGACAGUCAGACAGACAGUCAGUCAGACAGACGGUCACCAUAGCAGUCAGUCAGACAGUCAGACAGACAGUCAGACAGACAGACAGUCAGACAGACGGUCACCAUAGCAGUCAGUCAGACAGACAGUCAGACAGACAGUCAGACAGACAGUCAGACAGACGGUCACCAUAGCAGUCAGUCAGACAGACAGUCAGACAGACAGUCAGACAGACAGUCAGACAGACGGUCACCAUAGCAGUCAGUCAGACAGACAGUCAGACAGACAGUCAGACAGACGGUCACCAUAGCAGUCAGUCAGACAGACAGUCAGACAGACAGUCAGAUGGGUAAGCAAUAACAAUAAACAAAUUCAGGUAGAAACACACCAACACGAUAAAUGGUGUUUCCCUUCCUGUACAAAUCACCUGGGAAGGCAGAACGUUAAGGUUUCUUACUUCCUGUACAAAUCACCUGGGAAGGCAGAACGUUAAGGUUUCUUACUUCCUGUACAAAUCACCUGGGAAGGCAGAACGUUAAGGUUUCUUACUUCCUGUACAAAUCACCUGGGAAGGCAGAA
Oncorhynchus tshawytscha (Chinook salmon) is the source of this 1602-nucleotide long non-coding RNA. The record is from Ensembl. Lineage: Eukaryota; Metazoa; Chordata; Actinopteri; Salmoniformes; Salmonidae.